CCCCGGACACCCAGGACCACGGGACCUGCCCUGAGUCCCGGUCAGACCCGGGUCAAGCCAGAAUUUUGGUUUUCAUUUUAGGUGAACUUUGGCUUUAUUUCAACUUGAAACAACCCACACUAAGGAGUACCUGAUAAAGCGAAGCAGAAAUUGAAUUUUUUGAAAUUGCCUCACCUGUGUAGGAUAGUCACCGUGUCAUGGCACAGCCUGAGAACCACCCCAGUGGAGGUAAAAGCACAGAGAUUUAGAGGGUUCCUAGUGUGAAGAAUAAUGAAUAAGUACACUGCAAGAUCUCUAAUAUUUGGUGUUGGAACAGACAAACCCUUUCUAAAGUCUAUUGGAUUGAGUGUAAGUUUGCAGAACUAUUUUCCAAGUAAAAGUCCAGAUAACGAUUACGUCAAACUGAUCUCCUAAAAGCACGUAAUUGUGUUGGGAAAGGUAUAAAAGCAGAAGGCAGAGUGUGUUUUGUAUGUAAGCAGUAAAGGCAUAUUGUUCUGACAGGGAUGAAGACAGGAGGGGGAGAUAGCAGGGAGGAGACACAGGCCUUCAGUUUAUUGCUAAAGCCAGUGAAGGGAAGCUCCACCUAUAAGCUUCCAGUAGCUCCUUGCCACCGUCAAGUUUCUUUCUACAUUUCUUGAUAAUCUACACUUUGUACACUGGGCCUUCAUGCUUUCUAAAAGGUGAUUCUUGGGGCCAGGCGGUAGUGCAAUGGUUAAGCGCAUAUGGCGCAAAGCACAAGGACCGGGGUAAGGAUCCCAGCUCCAUACCUGCAAGGGAGUGGUUUCAUGGUUGGUGAAGCAGGUCUGCAGGUGUCUAUCUUUCUCUCCCCUUCUCUGUCUUCCCUCCUCUCUCCAUUUCUCUCUGUCCUAUCCAACAACAGCAGCAAUGACA
Erinaceus europaeus (western European hedgehog) is the source of this 891-nucleotide long non-coding RNA. RefSeq lists it as uncharacterized. The transcript has 3 exons. The record is from RefSeq and is a predicted model, not a curated record. NCBI's taxonomy places the organism in Eukaryota, Metazoa, Chordata, Mammalia, Eulipotyphla, Erinaceidae.